This 94-nucleotide small nuclear RNA is filed under the name Meriones unguiculatus (Mongolian gerbil). Lineage: Eukaryota; Metazoa; Chordata; Mammalia; Rodentia; Muridae. The record is from RNAcentral.
AUGCUUGCUUCAGCAGCACGUAUACCACAAUUGCAACAAUACAUAGAUCCUUCACAAGGAUGAGACACAAAUUCAUGAAGCAGCCCAUGUUUAA